Molecule: ribosomal RNA, 499 nt
Filed under: Matuta planipes
Lineage: Eukaryota; Metazoa; Arthropoda; Malacostraca; Decapoda; Matutidae
Description: partial large subunit ribosomal RNA
Rfam family: Bacterial large subunit ribosomal RNA
Source: RNAcentral
AAAUAGUCAGGCCUGCUCACUGAUAGUUGUAUUAAAGAGCCGCGGUAUCCUAACCGUGCAAAGGUAGCAUAAUAAUUAGAUUUUUAAUUGGAAUCUUGUAUGAAUGGUCUUACAAAGGAAAAUCUGUCUUGGGUUUAAAAAUUGAAAUUAACUUUCAAAUGAAAAGGUUUGAAUAAAUUAAAGGGACGAUAAGACCCUAUAAAGCUUUAUGUAAAAAGAAAUAUGAUCUAUUUAGUUUAUAAAGGUUUAGUUUUAUAUUACAUUUUAUUGGGGCAAUAUAAAUAUAAUUUUUGUAACUGUUUAUUUUUAGAAACACUGUUUUUGAUUUUGUUGAUCCUUUUUAGAGAUUAAAAGAACAAGUUACUUUAGGGAUAACAGCGUUAUUUUUCUUAGAGUUCAUAUCGAAAGAAAAGAUUGCGACCUCGAUGUUGAAUUAAAAUGUCUUCACGGUGCAGCAGCUGUGGAAGAAAGUCUGUUCGCUUUUAAAAUUUUACAUGAU